AAAAGCUUGCUUUUUUGCUGACGACCGGCGCACGGGUGCGGAACGCGUAUGGAACCUGCCCCUGUCAGGGGAAUAGCCCAGGGAAACUUGGAUUAAUGCCCCAUAGUAUCGGGAUAUCGCAUGAUAUUCUGAUUAAAGAUUUAUCGGACAGGGAUGGCCAUGCGUACCAUUAGUUAGAUGGUGAGGUAACGGCUCACCAUGGCAGCGAUGGUUAGGGGCCCUGAGAGGGGGAUCCCCCACACUGGUACUGAGACACGGACCAGACUCCUACGGGAGGCAGCAGUGAGGAAUAUUGGACAAUGGGCGGGAGCCUGAUCCAGCCAUGCCGCGUGCAGGAUGACGGCCCUAUGGGUUGUAAACUGCUUUUAUACGGGAAGAAACGCACCUACGUGUAGGUGUCUGACGGUACCGUAAGAAUAAGGACCGGCUAACUCCGUGCCAGCAGCCGCGGUAAUACGGAGGGUCCGAGCGUUAUCCGGAAUCAUUGGGUUUAAAGGGUCCGUAGGCGGGCCUGUAAGUCAGGGGUGAAAGUUUGUGGCUCAACCAUAAAAUUGCCUUUGAUACUGCAGGUCUUGAGUCAUGGUGGGGUUGCCGGAACAUGUGGUGUAGCGGUGAAAUG
This 619-nucleotide ribosomal RNA is filed under the name uncultured bacterium. RNAcentral describes it as "bacterial SSU rRNA". It matches the Rfam family "Bacterial small subunit ribosomal RNA", at positions 74 to 688 of the family's 1533-position model. The record is from RNAcentral.